UACGUAGGGGGCAAGCGUUAUCCGGAUUUACUGGGUGUAAAGGGAGCGUAGACGGUGAGACAAGUCUGAAGUGAAAGCCCGGGGCUCAACCCCGGGACUGCUUUGGAAACUGCCUGACUGGAGUGCUGGAGAGGCAAGCGGAAUUCCUAGUGUAGCGGUGAAAUGCGUAGAUAUUAGGAAGAACACCAGUGGCGAAGGCGGCUUGCUGGACAGUAACUGACGUUGAGGCUCGAAAGCGUGGGGAGCAAACAGG
RNAcentral lists this ribosomal RNA (253 nucleotides) under uncultured bacterium. Its description in RNAcentral is "partial 16S ribosomal RNA". It matches the Rfam family "Bacterial small subunit ribosomal RNA", at positions 524 to 776 of the family's 1533-position model. The record is from RNAcentral.